AUGGUCCAGCGUUUGACAUACUGUUGUAGGCUUUCCUACAAUACAGCUUCUAAUAAAACUAGGCUGUCCUGAACCCCUGGUAAUAUAAUUGCUUACCUUUAUACCAAGAAGGCUGGGAAAGCACCAAAAUCUACUGUGGUGUGUACCCACGCAGACUUCAAGGGGUUCGUGCUAUAAGACCCGAAGUCUUAUGAGAUUGUCCAAAACACAAAAAACCAUGUCAGCAGGGCCUAUGGUGGUUCCAUGUGUGCUAUAUGUGUUUGUGACAGGAUCAAGCAUGUUUUCCUUAUCGAGGAAAAGAAAAUCAUUGUGAGAGUGUUGAAGGCACAAGCACAGGGUCAGAAAGCUAAAU
RNAcentral lists this long non-coding RNA (352 nucleotides) under Homo sapiens (human). RNAcentral describes it as "non-protein coding lnc-ACBD3-1:1". Lineage: Eukaryota; Metazoa; Chordata; Mammalia; Primates; Hominidae. The record is from RNAcentral.